Molecule: long non-coding RNA, 234 nt
Filed under: Capsella rubella
Lineage: Eukaryota; Viridiplantae; Streptophyta; Magnoliopsida; Brassicales; Brassicaceae
Description: long non-coding RNA (CRUB_LNC002539)
Source: RNAcentral
CUGAGACCAUCCACAACGGGAGAGCUCCAUUACGGGCUCUUACAAAUAUUUUAAGUAUAAUUUUGUAAAAGUUGAAGUUAGAGAUGGUGUUGGAGUUUAAAAAUUUGUACUACUCCAAUGAUAAGAGCUACGGGGUUUAUAUACAUUUAAAAAAAAAAAAAUCUUCGUCGUUGAAGCCUCACCUAAAAAGAGAGAAAAAAACUCGCAACAGUGUUAUAUUAAUCAACAAUCAGA